RNAcentral lists this ribosomal RNA (675 nucleotides) under Triticum aestivum (bread wheat). Its description in RNAcentral is "partial small subunit ribosomal RNA". Lineage: Eukaryota; Viridiplantae; Streptophyta; Magnoliopsida; Poales; Poaceae. The record is from RNAcentral.
AUGCUGGGCGUGCUGCUGGAGGACUUGCUGAUGCAGGUCGCGACGAAGCCAACCGCGAAGGAGGUAUGGGACUCCCUCAAGGUUCGCUUCGUCGGUGUUGAUCGGGUGCGGGCGGUGAGGCUCGGGACGCUGCGUGGCAAGUUCAAUCGCCUGCGGAUGGACGACGGUGACAAGCUGGACGACCACGCCGGGAAGGUCAGCGGCAUGGCGGCGAGGUACAGAUUGCUCGUCUCGACACUUGACCAUGCGGCCAUGAUAAAGAAGCUGCUCGACACCGUGCCUGACCGCAUGUACGCCGCGGUGGCCGGAAUCGAGCAAUUCUGCAACAUGGAGAAUAUGGCGUUCGAGGAGGCGCUCGAACGGUUGAAGGCGUUCGAGGAGCGGACGCGGCGGCGCAUGCAGGCCGGCGGCGAGCGCGCGGACGGGCAACUAAUGAUGAUGGCAGCACAGUGGGUGGCUCGGGAGCGACAGCAAGGUGGACGAGGCUUCAGCGACCACGACAAUGACGGCGUGGCAAGCAGAGCGUCGGGCAAUGGAGGGAAGCGCCAUGGACGCUGCUGCAAAUGCGGGGAGCACGGGCACUUCCGGCGCGAGUGCCCACAGCUGCGGAAAGGACCAGCGACAGAGCAGGCUCUCGUGACCGACGCCAACGUCGACGAUGACGGACUCCUCUAG